Small nuclear RNA from Ailuropoda melanoleuca (giant panda), 107 nucleotides. The record is from Ensembl. Lineage: Eukaryota; Metazoa; Chordata; Mammalia; Carnivora; Ursidae.
AUACUCAUUUCAGUAGCACACAUACUAUAAUUAGAAUGAUACAGAGAGGUUUAGCAUGUCUCCUGCACAAGGACAACGUGCAAAUUUCUGAAGAAUUCCACAAAUGC